CCUCCCCAGCCCCCCGGCUUGGGGGUCUCCAGGGCUGCCGGUGGAGCCGGGCGAGGGGGCCCCGAGCCCCCGGGGGGGGUCUCCUCCCCCUGGGCUGGUGCCUGCCCCGGUGCCCCCGCGCGGCCCCAGCCCCCCCAGCCCGCUGCAGGAUCCGGCCCUCCCCAGCCUGGCAGCCCAGGAGCCGCAGCAAGGGACCAUCAGGGAACCCGAGCAGGAGCCAGCCCGGAGCGACUCGGGGCACAACGGCAUCGGGGACCUCGGGCACGGGGGGUGGCCAGCCCCCUGGGAGCAGGACCCCCCGGUGCAGGGGGAUGAGCCCAGUGACACCAUCCUGCCGGAGCCGCUGCACAAAGCCAAGCCAGGCUUCGCCCUGCUGCUGGCCCGCGAUGCCCCCCACCAGCAGCUGCCUGCCGGCAGCACCCCCCCAGCCGAGGACGAGGACCUCUCCCCCCAUGCUGUGUAGUGGGGGGGACAGCAGCACGCCGCCCCCCCCAGCACCACCUACUGUGCCC
Molecule: long non-coding RNA, 512 nt
Filed under: Anas platyrhynchos platyrhynchos (common mallard)
Lineage: Eukaryota; Metazoa; Chordata; Aves; Anseriformes; Anatidae
Description: lncRNA (ENSAPLG00000022287.1)
Source: RNAcentral